Schizosaccharomyces pombe (fission yeast) is the source of this 465-nucleotide non-coding RNA. NCBI's taxonomy places the organism in Eukaryota, Fungi, Ascomycota, Schizosaccharomycetes, Schizosaccharomycetales, Schizosaccharomycetaceae. The record is from the annotation of a GenBank genome assembly.
GAUUCAUAUUAGAGGUGCCAAAGGAAAAUGAAGAUUGACCAAAGGCGGAGGGCUGUCCAAAAACAGGUGCUUGACCAAAAGCCGAAGGUUGUCCAAAAACAGGUGCUUGACCAAAAGUAGAAGGUUGUCCAAAUACCGGCGUGUUAGAUUUAGCACCCGAAGAAGCGUCUGUAGAUAACCCUUUGUCAAAAGAAGUAGCUUGACCAAAUUUAAAGUUACCAAAUGCAGAAGAUUGUGAAAAAGGUGAACUAGUAGAACUCAGAUUCUUCACAAAAGGAGAGGCUUGUUUAUCGGGCGUUGGUAUAUUUUCAUUGUUCGAUGCACGUACAGUAGAAUCUUUAUUUUUGUCUUUAAUAACAUUCAUUUCAGGAUAAUCAAUGCUCUUGGAAAUAGCAUCUGCAUAGAAAAUUCUGUAUGCCACCAAUUGGAAUUCAUCAUUAAACACCCAAACAAUAGGUAAUGGAG